AUGUAGUGCUAGGGGUGCUAUAAGAGCUGAGAAAUGAAUUAUUUAUGACUAAUUCAUUAACCCUUGUACCUGAACUAGAUAAUUCUAGCGUAGGGAAGCCUUUUAUAGAUAUA
RNAcentral lists this non-coding RNA (113 nucleotides) under Clostridium tetani 12124569. Its description in RNAcentral is "TPP". It matches the Rfam family "TPP riboswitch aptamer (THI element)". From Rfam's summary of the family: Vitamin B(1) in its active form thiamin pyrophosphate (TPP) is an essential coenzyme that is synthesised by coupling of pyrimidine and thiazole moieties in bacteria. The record is from RNAcentral. Lineage: Bacteria; Bacillati; Bacillota; Clostridia; Eubacteriales; Clostridiaceae.